RNAcentral lists this long non-coding RNA (567 nucleotides) under Cottoperca gobio. RNAcentral describes it as "lncRNA (ENSCGOG00000002504.1)". Lineage: Eukaryota; Metazoa; Chordata; Actinopteri; Perciformes; Bovichtidae. The record is from RNAcentral.
GACCAAUAUCCAUGUGUGACCGAAACUGAACCAAAAACACCACUUUGACUAUUUGUGUAAACAUAUCUGAACGUAUAUCUCUAUGCUAGACUACUUUUGUAUAUUUCAUCCUCACUUUUUUAAGUAAUUGACAAUCACUAGGGUACUUUUAUUAUUUAAAAAAACCCCACCAUGAUUCAUAUUGUUUCUCAAAGUGUUUCAGAUUAUCCAACGUGGAGAGCAGCGAGUGAGAAACAACAGGGAGGAGAGAGGAUGUGUGUAAGGCUCCCUCUCUCCUCCUCCUCACACGCUGGUGACAGAGAGGUAGACGGGAGUGUUUAUCAUGAGCCGCCCGUGAGACUCAGCAGCACAGUGACGGGGACAGACAUUACAGAGAGGAGAGGGGACGCACAUCGACACACUCGAGUGUGAGGAAGCUUUCAGUCCAGCAGACACUUCGCGCAGACUGGGGACGACUGGAUUGGUGAGUGGAACUCUUGGCUGUGAAUUUACUUAAAAAAAAAUUAAAUCCUCAUUUACUUAUAAAUAUUGUUGACGUUUAUGAUUUAUUGGCAACAUUGAGUGACC